AGGGCUGUAACCCGCCCUCACGAAGAUGGAUUCCGUAGUAAUCGCGUGUCAACAUCACGCGGUGAAUAUGCCCCUGCUCCUUGCACACACCGCCCGUCAAGCCACCCGAGUUGAGCCUGGGUGAUGGUGCCGUUCUUGCGGCGCUAGAACCUAGGUUCAGCAAGGAGGGCUAAGUCGUAACAAGGUAUCUGUAGGGGAACCUGCAGAUGGAUCACCUCCUAAA
This 223-nucleotide ribosomal RNA is filed under the name Methanobacteriota archaeon. RNAcentral's name for it is "Euryarchaeota archaeon partial 16S ribosomal RNA". It matches the Rfam family "Archaeal small subunit ribosomal RNA", at positions 1257 to 1478 of the family's 1478-position model. Lineage: Archaea; Methanobacteriati; Methanobacteriota. The record is from RNAcentral.